UACGAAGGGGGCUAGCGUUGUUCGGAAUUACUGGGCGUAAAGCGCGUGUAGGCGGGGCUUUAAGUCAGGGGGGAAAUGCCAAGGCUCAACCUUGGAACUGCCUUUGAUACUGGAGAUCUUGAGUCCGGGAGAGGUGAGUGGAACUGCGAGUGUAGAGGUGAAAUUCGUAGAUAUUCGCAAGAACACCAGUGGCGAAGGCGGCUCACUGGCCCGGAACUGACGCUGAGACGCGAAAGCGUGGGGAGCAAACAGG
Molecule: ribosomal RNA, 253 nt
Filed under: uncultured bacterium
Lineage: Bacteria
Description: partial 16S ribosomal RNA
Rfam family: Bacterial small subunit ribosomal RNA
Source: RNAcentral